AUUGAACGCUGGCGGCAGGCCUAACACAUGCAAGUCGAACGAGUGGCGGACGGGUGAGUAAUGUCUGGGAAACUGUCCGUUGGAGGGGGAUAACUACUGGAAACGGUAGCUCAUACCGCAUACCAUCGGAUGUGCGCAGAUGGGAUUAGCUAGUAGGUGGGGUAACGGCUCACCUAGGCGACGAUCCCUAGCGGGUCUGAGAGGAUGACCAGCCACAAUGGAACUGAGACACGGUCCAGACUCCUACGGGAGGCAGCAGUGGGGAAUAUUGCACAAUGGGCGCAAGCCUGAUGCAGCCAGGCCGCGUGUAUGAAGAAGGCCUUCGGGUUGUAAAGUACUUUCAGCGAGGAGGCGUUACUCGCAGAAGAAGCACCGGCUAACUCCGUGCCAGCAGCCGCGGUAAUAC
RNAcentral lists this ribosomal RNA (406 nucleotides) under uncultured bacterium. RNAcentral describes it as "partial 16S ribosomal RNA". It matches the Rfam family "Bacterial small subunit ribosomal RNA", at positions 30 to 526 of the family's 1533-position model. The record is from RNAcentral.